This 46-nucleotide non-coding RNA is filed under the name Schistosoma mansoni. The record is from RNAcentral. Lineage: Eukaryota; Metazoa; Platyhelminthes; Trematoda; Strigeidida; Schistosomatidae.
GCACUGCUGAGGAGUCCCAUAAUAGGACGUAAUGGUCGUCCAGUGC